CCAGAGAACUUAGCAGAGAUGCUUUGGUGCCUUCGGGAACUCUGAGACAGGUGCUGCAUGGCUGUCGUCAGCUCGUGUUGUGAAAUGUUGGGUUAAGUCCCGCAACGAGCGCAACCCUUAUCCUUUGUUGCCAGCGGCUCGGCCGGGAACUCAAAGGAGACUGCCGGUGAUAAACCGGAGGAAGGUGGGGAUGACGUCAAGUCAUCAUGGCCCUUACGGCCAGGGCUACACACGUGCUACAAUGGCGCAUACAAAGAGAAGCGACCUCGCGAGAGCAAGCGGACCUCAUAAAGUGCGUCGUAGUCCGGAUUGGAGUCUGCAACUCGACUCCAUGAAGUCGGAAUCGCUAGUAAUCGUAGAUCAGAAUGCUACGGUGAAUACGUUCCCGGGCCUUGUACACACCGCCCGUCACACUAUGGGAGUGGGUUGCAAAAGAAGUAGGUAGCUUAACCUUCGGGAGGGCGCUUACCACUUUGUGAUUCAUGACUGGGGUGAAGUCGUAACAAGGUAAGCGUAGCGAG
This 521-nucleotide ribosomal RNA is filed under the name uncultured bacterium. Its description in RNAcentral is "bacterial SSU rRNA". It matches the Rfam family "Bacterial small subunit ribosomal RNA", at positions 988 to 1509 of the family's 1533-position model. The record is from RNAcentral.